This 452-nucleotide ribosomal RNA is filed under the name uncultured bacterium. RNAcentral describes it as "bacterial SSU rRNA". It matches the Rfam family "Bacterial small subunit ribosomal RNA", at positions 1052 to 1504 of the family's 1533-position model. The record is from RNAcentral.
UCGUCAGCUCGUGUCGUGAGAUGUUGGGUUAAGUCCCGCAACGAGCGCAACCCCUAUUGUUAGUUGCUACCAUUAAGUUGAGCACUCUAGCGAGACUGCCUGGGUUAACCAGGAGGAAGGUGGGGAUGACGUCAAAUCAUCAUGCCCCUUAUGUGUAGGGCUACACACGUGCUACAAUGGCAAGUACAGAGAGACGCAAAACCGUGAGGUCGAGCAAAUCCCUUAAAACUUGUCCCAGUUCGGAUUGUAGGCUGAAACUCGCCUACAUGAAGCCGGAGUUGCUAGUAAUCGCGAAUCAGAAUGUCGCGGUGAAUACGUUCCCGGGUCUUGUACACACCGCCCGUCACACCAUGAGAGUUGGCAAUACCCAACGUCCGUGAGCUAACCGCAAGGAGGCAGCGGCCUAAGGUAGGGUACAGCGAUUGGGGUGAAGUCGUAACAAGGUAGCCGUA